RNAcentral lists this transfer RNA (72 nucleotides) under Bos taurus (domestic cattle). It matches the Rfam family "tRNA". Rfam says of the family: Transfer RNA (tRNA) molecules are approximately 80 nucleotides in length. Their secondary structure includes four short double-helical elements and three loops (D, anti-codon, and T loops). Further hydrogen bonds mediate the characteristic L-shaped molecular structure. tRNAs have two regions of fundamental functional importance: the anti-codon, which is responsible for specific mRNA codon recognition, and the 3' end, to which the tRNAs corresponding amino acid is attached (by aminoacyl-tRNA synthetases). tRNAs cope with the degeneracy of the genetic code in two manners: having more than one tRNA (with a specific anti-codon) for a particular amino acid; and 'wobble' base-pairing, i.e. permitting non-standard base-pairing at the 3rd anti-codon position. The record is from Rfam by way of RNAcentral. RNAcentral also lists the same sequence under 2 other names. Lineage: Eukaryota; Metazoa; Chordata; Mammalia; Artiodactyla; Bovidae.
UCCCUUGUGGCUCAGACGGUAAAGUGUCUGCCUACAGUGCGGGAGACCUGGGUUCGAUCCCUGGGAUGGGAA